GACGAACGCUGGCGGCGUGCCUAACACAUGCAAGUCGAACGGAGUGAUGAUUUCGGUUAUCACUUAGUGGCGAACGGGUGAGUAACGCGUGAGAAACCUGCCUUUCAGUGGGGGACAACAGUUGGAAACGACUGCUAAUACCGCAUAACACAUCGAUGGGGCAUCCUGUUGAUGUCAAAGAUUUAUCGCUGAAAGAUGGGCUCGCGUCUGAUUAGCUAGUUGGUGGGGUAACGGCCCACCAAGGCGACGAUCAGUAGCCGGACUGAGAGGUUGAACGGCCACAUUGGGACUGAGAUACGGCCCAG
Molecule: ribosomal RNA, 305 nt
Filed under: uncultured bacterium
Lineage: Bacteria
Description: bacterial SSU rRNA
Rfam family: Bacterial small subunit ribosomal RNA
Source: RNAcentral